Molecule: long non-coding RNA, 4446 nt
Organism: Gallus gallus (chicken)
Lineage: Eukaryota; Metazoa; Chordata; Aves; Galliformes; Phasianidae
Source: Ensembl
CUCAUUAAUGCUUUAUUAUGGAAAUUCACUCCAUGUUGACCAUUAGAGGUCAGCAAAAAUCUGGUCAACAGCGCCUUGCGUUUUCUUGGACAAAAGAAAACUUGUUUUUUUUCUGUCAAAAUCCUUGUUUUGUUCACACUGUCAAGUUCUUCCACACCACCAGAAAAACCACACAUUCCUUUCAUAACAUGAACAAAAGAUGAGGUUCUUGGUAUGCCAUAGGAAUUCAGACAGAAGCUUUGAGAAAGGCAGUUAAUGCUAUGGAACCACAACAAAACUGAGUUGACAAAGCCAUGUUCCCACUGCUGUUCUACAGAUAACAAUAAAACUAUACACUAACUUCCGACAUCUGCAGUAGGACCAGUAGGUCUGUGUUGCAACAUACUGCAAAGAAACACUACAGAUGGUGACAGAGUUGAGAGGAAGGAAGGAAGCAAGGAAGGAAUGAACGAACCAAGGAAGGAAGGAAAGAAGGGAGGGAGGAAGGGAGGGAGAUGGUCCAUGAGUGGCAGUGCUGUGCCAGCCAGAAAUGAACUAUCAAAUAUGGUCUCAUUCACAUCUUCUCCACCAUCUAUCCGUAAUCUCAAGGGACACUGAAUAACAGAGGCUCCCACCGUUCUGAAAUAGAAACAUGUUCAGCCAUUUCCAGUGCCUCCUUUCUUCUCUUUCUUUUCAAAGAGAAACUUUAUACAAUAAUAAAAGCUGUAAAAUAGCAGAGCUCCAUGAGUGCAGAGGAGGAGUAUUUAAAAUGAAUUAAGAAAAUAUUAGGCAGAAAAUGAGCCCCAGAGCUCACACUCCCCCUCCAUCUUCUGCAGGCAGAAGCAGCAUCUGGGACAGCCAGGGCUGCCAGCAGUGCAGGAGAGCACUGCCACCACGUGCAAACCCAGCUUCUCCGCAUCCCCCAUGUCAGGAGACCAAUUUUUAAAACCCAAUCAUCUUUCUCUCUCUUCAGUCUCUCAUCUUAAUGAAACUGUCACAAGUCCAGUAGGUGGUCUGAUUGGCUUUUUUGGGCUUCACAAGCUAUAAUUUCUUCAUCACUUCAUCAUUUUUGCACUGUGAAUUACUAUUUCAGCCUGUUCUUUCACCUUCUUUUUAAUCAUCAGCUUUUUAAGUAAUACCACAUAGGUGAAAAAUACUAAUAUAACAGUCAUUUUAACAGCUGGUUAAAUUAACUCUGUGAUGGCAGGGCAUGCAGCAAUUUGUGAAGUGCACAAGUGAAGAGGUGUUCCAGUGGUGCUGAGAAGAUGGAGUACGGCUUCAGAACCUGGAAAACAAAAUUAGGUCCUAUCUACGUGGGGAUGCUGAGGAAACUCAAGCUGAGCUAAUUGAAGGUGUGAAUUUAAAUUAGAUCAGAAUGGGGCACUGCUAUUCUUCACAAUGAGUAGACAAUGAAGGAAAUGCUCAUAAUUGACCAGCAAAUGAUGCAAGACCUAUACAAACAGAAUAAAAGAUCUCCUGGUCUCUAAGUAAAAAAGGUAACAGUUCAUUUGCUUUUCUUUUCUCAUACUACUACUAAUAACAAUAUAAAUGUUUGUACUUAUCAUGUAAAUAUUUGUACUAUCAAUGCAAUCAAGGAGUUCAAGCAAAAAAAUCCUUUGCAUAUAAACCAGCAGAGGAUCACCAGCUACUUCCUUUCAGAAUCAGACAAAAUCUGGGAUGAGAGCUUUAUUCCACUCUAACUCAGCCUCCAAAAACAGUCUGUGCCUGUUUCAAUCCUCUGGAUGCCAGCAAAACUGUGCAGAAUUGCUAUGAACAAUACACUAGGCAAAGCUAACAAGCAGUUCCUUCCUUUGCAUUAUGGUUAAAGGUAAGGGAAAUAAAACAAAGGAAAUGCUAAAGGCUGUUAGAAGAUGUUGUAGUUUAUUCCCAGAUUCAUAACAGCAGAGUAGAUAAUACAGCAAUGUGCUAUCAUCUGUUUCUUGGCAAUAGGCUGUACGAAGUCAUACUGCUACUUACCUUUAAUAAAUAAGUUCCCACUAGUGCUUCUCACACAUUAAUUAUUGUACAAAUCCCAUGAGUGAAAAUAAAAGUUCUGCAGAUAGGUAUUCUCCCUCCUCGCAUUAGCAAAAGUUAAAUGUUAGGAAAGAAAACCACUGAGAACACAGAGAGGACUGGUGAAUCACGUGCUUAAUUGAGAAAACCUGACCCAGCCAAGUGGCUACAAAACAAAAUGAGCAAAACAAAAACUCUUAUAAUCUAGCUCUUACAUGACAAUGUGAGACUCUGCCAUGCAUGAUCUUUCCAGGGCAUCUGCAUCUAGCUCAGUACAUGCAAACCAUAGCAUCCCCUAGUAAUUUCUGUAUAGAUACAUUAUUAGCACAAGUCACAGCCAAAAUGAAUCUCAUUUGUUUCCUGUGAAGAGCCCAGAUCAGGCAGGAGCAAUGUCAGACAGUGCUCAUCAGGCACCCUGGUGAAUGAGGCUUGGUGUAAUUUAGAUGCCCUGCCUCAGGGAGAAACUACAAAGGCCAAAUGGUCUGGGUGGUUUUCAGAGAAAAUAAAAUGGGAUAAGAACCUGAGACAUGCACUUUCUACUGAAGUCUUCAAGAUGGUUUUCAAAUUCAGGCAAAAUCCUCAAGGUGGGAGUUGCAAAGAAAGGCAAGAAGAGAAGGACAGCACCUAGCUUUAAAACACUUCCUAAAUAAAUUUUGGCAGUGCUUCAACAUUAAAGCUUUUGGGGCUGGAAAUUGAGGGAGCCUGGCCAGGCUGACAAACAGAGGACAUAGCACUCCCAAUACAGCAGUGAAGAACAGCCCUGUGAGAGGGAGCUAGAUGCCAAGGACUCACAUGCAAAAGGGAGCUGAGAAGCUAAGCCCCAAACAGAUGAGGAGGAGGACAAUACUCCCAGAUACUGUUUUGGCAGAAGAGAAGAAAAUACAGUGAAGGAUACUAAGCAACUGAAAGGAAAGACCAAACACCUGUUUAUGUUACAAAAUUAAAGAAAUCAGGAGAAAAAUCCUGAUUAAAACUGAUUAAAAAUAUAUAUUUCAAGCCCUAAAAAUAACUCAGUAGUGAAGCAAAGAGAAAAAGAAGGUCACACAGGACACUUACAUUAGGCAGGAUAAGCCCUUGUAAAUGUGCAGUAGGGAUUAAUUGCACUUUGGAAGUGAUGUACUAGAUGACCUACCAUAACAGUUCUGGAGAUAACUAACAGCAAGAAUAAGUCAUUUUGAAAAUUCAUCAGGGAAGCAUAGUGUUGCAAAGAUUCACAGAAGAAAUGGCUGUGUUCUUCUGCAUGGUAAUAAGAAAAAGCACAAAAGGACAGAUUUUCUACCAAGUACAUCAAUUUCCUCAGUAUACUGGUAACCACCUAUCUACAAGGGAUGUUCCAAAAGUAUGGCCUCCUAUUUUAUUAUGUUGGCUUACGAUUUCAGAGGUGGAUGUUGGUGAUGUGACAGUAGAAGUUGAACAUUCUCACCAAUGUUGUUGCCAUGCAACAGAUGGCAGUGGAGGGGCAGUGUGACACAAUGGCAUCUGACGUGGAAGUGCACAGAAAGCAAAGGUGUGUCGCUGAAUUCCUCCAUGUGGAAAAAUUUGCACCCAUUGAUAUUCAUCAACUUUUGCUGAAUGUUUAUGGGGACCAGACAGUGGAUGUGAGCACAGUGAGUGGUAGGUGGUGCAUUUCAGCAGUGGAGACAGUGAUUUGAAAGGCAAGACACAUUCCAGACAGCCAUGCAGAUUUUUACAGGCAUGGCAUGCAGGUUCUUGCUUAUUGCUGGGGAAAACGAAUAGCUAAUGGAGAUGACUGUGCUGAAAAAAAAAAAAUGCAUUUUGUAGCUGAGAAUUUACUUCAUCAAAUAGCAUUGUUGCACCUUUUGUAGCUGCUGUUGUUCCCAUGGAAAUAAAGAGGAGGCAUUACUUUCAGAGCAACCUACAUACUUGUCCUUAUAUAACUGGUGAAGGAAACUCAUUUUGCUUUAACUGUCCCCUUUUUUUUCCUUUCUGAAAUCAUUAGCUGCCAAAGCACCCUGUCUACCUGUGUCCCCUCACAUCCCAGCUACUGUUCAGGAGUUUGGGUUAUUUGAUUUAAUUAUUCAAAAUCCUGAAUCUAAAAAAGUGUAGUUUCUUUGACAUUUUUUAAUUACUUGCCUUAGUUUUAAGGUGGACAGGAAAAUACAAAGUAUUUUUGUAUUUUUGUUUUUUUUCCUCCUUUUAUCUUGUUGGUAUCAUUUCUUCUGGAAUUUUUCCUGAAAUGUGAGCAGAUUUUUCCAGUAAAGCAAAGCAGAUGUUUUGCAAUGGUUUUCACAGCAAUAAGCCCCUGACAAGCUGUAGUACACGUGCCCUGUACUGCAAACAUUGCUUGAAUACUUUUACUUACAACUAGUCUCAGUAAAAUUGACAGGAAUAUUUCCCCCUUACCUGCUUGCUCUGUGGGAGAAAAUACUCUUUUCUUUACAUUUCCACUCCUUUCAGCAAACAGAUAACAAAGAAGCUACAUACACAUAUACU